UGUGUCAGGCGGGGAGCUAGCGGUGCCCUGUAUCUGCAAUCCGCUAUAGCAGAGCUUACAUGCCGGUCCCGGCUUCUAGUAUUCAGAGGUCCGAUUGGAAUAAGGGACGUCGAUCCUAAGGUCUUAUGCAACUUCACCCUGUGAACCGUGUCAGGAUAGGAAUAUAGCAGCACUAAGCAGGAAUUGGGUGUGCCAUAGGGUUGCUUUGGGGGAGUUACCUGUUUCGAUACC
RNAcentral lists this signal recognition particle RNA (231 nucleotides) under human gut metagenome. RNAcentral's name for it is "Bacterial large signal recognition particle RNA". It matches the Rfam family "Bacterial large signal recognition particle RNA", at positions 3 to 228 of the family's 256-position model. From Rfam's summary of the family: The signal recognition particle (SRP) is a universally conserved ribonucleoprotein involved in the co-translational targeting of proteins to membranes. The record is from RNAcentral.